AUGAUUUCAAACAUGUUAAAAGUAAUUAAUUUUACUCGACAAAAUAUUAUCUGGGUGUUUUUCAAAAACCGCGCGCAUUUUUCAGUCAGUCGCGUCCACACUCUGCUCAUCCCCCGCGGGACCGCGCUCACUCGCUCACUCACACUGAUCACAGCAGGACUACAGGCGACGCGGUCACGGAAAAUAACAGCCGGACACAGACAAACGAGUCCCGCAAAGUGUAUUUUUAAACUAAGGUUAGAGAGACGGCUGACAGUAUCUUCGUCAUCUCUAACCGUCACUCCCGCCACAGAUCUGAAGCGAGUGCAAAGGCAGAGAGGGGCGGUGUGAUGGUAUUGGCAGCAAGAAGGCUGCAAUACUAAUAUGGGCCUGAAAUGAAGAACAAUAUCAGUCAUUCAAGCUAUGAUCCUGGCAGAUCUACUAUCUGAAAAAAGACUCAGCAGAUUUUUUUCAAGACACACAAGGUAGGACACAGUUCAGAACUUUAUAUUUACUUGGCAACAUUUUUCUGAGAUCAGCAGAAAUUACUGAAUAGUUGAUCUAGGGAUGUUCAUUUUAACCGGUUAACCAUUAACCGACCGUUAAGAAUUUUGACAGAUUAAAACAAUCAGUUAAACGGUUUAAAAAGUCAUUUAUUUAUUUUCAGUAAUUUAUCAAAAUAUUUAAAAAGGUUUGCUGCAUGGUUAAAAUAUGCUACGCGUAUACAUGUUUUUAGUUUUUUAGAGAAAAAAAAACACAAGUCCCAUUUUAUUAUUUAAUUCAGAAAUAGGUCUGAUGCCGACACGAAAUGUUUAAAAUCAUUAUAAUAAACUGUAAACAUAGCUAGGCUAUUUUAGUUCC
Molecule: long non-coding RNA, 840 nt
Organism: Cyprinus carpio (common carp)
Lineage: Eukaryota; Metazoa; Chordata; Actinopteri; Cypriniformes; Cyprinidae
Source: Ensembl